This 226-nucleotide ribosomal RNA is filed under the name uncultured bacterium. RNAcentral describes it as "partial 16S ribosomal RNA". It matches the Rfam family "Bacterial small subunit ribosomal RNA", at positions 103 to 334 of the family's 1533-position model. The record is from RNAcentral.
CGGGUGAGUAAUGUCUGGGAAACUGCCUGAUGGAGGGGGAUAACUGCUGGAAACGGUAGCUAAUACCGCAUAACGUCGCAAGACCAAAGAGGGGGACCUUCGGGCCUCUUGCCAUCGGAUGUGCCAGAUGGGAUUAGCUAGUAGGUGGGGUAACGGCUCACCUAGGCGACGAUCCCUAGCUGGUCUGAGAGGAUGCCAGCCACACUGGAACUGAGACACGGUCCAG